Molecule: ribosomal RNA, 1507 nt
Filed under: marine metagenome
Description: bacterial LSU rRNA
Rfam family: Bacterial large subunit ribosomal RNA
Source: RNAcentral
ACUCGGAGAUAGCUGGUUCUCCCCGAAAUGUAUUUAGGUACAGCCUUAAUAUAUAGUCUUGGGGGGGUAGAGCUCUGGAUGAGCUAGGGGGUGUAAGCUUACUAAACUCAACCAAACUCCAAAUACCUCGAGAUGUUUAUUAGGAGUGAGACAGUGGGGGAUAAGCUCCAUUGUCGAAAGGGAAACAGCCCAGAUCGCAGGCUAAGGCCCCUAAAUGUGAACUAAGUGUGAAAGGAAGUUAGAUUGGCGAGACAGCUAGGAGGUUGGCUUAGAGGCAGCCAUCCUUUGAAGAGUGCGUAACAGCUCACUAGCAGACUGGUUUUGCGCCGAAAAUGUAACGGGGCUAAGUUCACUGCCGAAGCCGCGACUUUAAUCAUUUAUUUGAUUAAGGGGUAGGGGAGCGUUGCCAAAGCAUUGAAGCUAUGUACGUGAGUAAUAGUGGAGUUUUGGGAAGUGAGAAUGCCGGCAUGAGUAGCGACAAUCUUGGUGAGAAUCCAAGACACCGAAAACCCAAGGUUUCCUACGCAACGUUGAUCAGCGUAGGGUAAGUCGGGCCUAAGCUGUAGCGUAUAGCGAAAGCGAUGGACAGCAGGUCAAAAUUCCUGCACCGUUGUUAUGGCGUUUUAAGGCAAAGGGGGGACACGGAAAGGUAGGUAGAUCGUACCUAUUGGACAUGGUACGUUAUGUUCUGAAGGCCAUGCCUAGACAGGGAAAUCCGUUUAGGCGUUAUGAGCUGAGGGAAUGAUAAAACUUAAGGGCUUUUGCCCUUGAGGAUUCUAUUGAUCCUAUGCCGUCAAGAAAAUCCUCGUUGCUAGACAUUUCAGCGUCCGUACCGCAAACCGACACAGGUGGGUGGGGGUAAGUAUCCCAAGGUGAACGAGAGAACCUUCGUUAAGGAAUUCGACAACUUAACUCUGUAACUUCGGAAUAAAGAGUGCCCGUUUGGUAGUAUUUACUUGCUAAAUAUGGCUAAAACGGGUCGCAGUGAACAGGCUCAGGCGACUGUUUAUCAAAAACAUAGGUCUCUGCUAAAGCGAAAGCUGAUGUAUAGGGGCUGACGCCUGCCCAGUGCCGGAAGGUUAAGGGAAAGGGUUCGUUUCAAUUCGUUGAAACAAAGCUCUGCACUGAAGCCCCGGUGAACGGCGGCCGUAACUAUAACGGUCCUAAGGUAGCGAAAUCCCUUGUCGGGUAAGUUCCGACCUGCACGAAUGGCGUCACGAUCUGAGCGUUGUCUCAACGAAGGACUCGGUGAAAUUGCAUGGCCGGUAAAGAUGCCGGCUACCCGCAACAGGACAAAAAGACCCCGUGGAGCUUUACUGUAGCUUGGUAAUGGAUUGCAUUUAUUAAUGUGUAGGAUAGGCGGGAGACUUUGAAGCAUCAGCGCUAGCUGGUGUGGAGUCAACCUUGAAAUACCGCCCUUUACUAAAUUCGAUUCUAACCUCGUAGAAAACGAGGGACAUUGCCAGGUGGGCAGUUUGACUGGGGCGGUCGCCUCCUAAAGAGUAAC